Molecule: long non-coding RNA, 246 nt
Filed under: Carica papaya (papaya)
Lineage: Eukaryota; Viridiplantae; Streptophyta; Magnoliopsida; Brassicales; Caricaceae
Description: long non-coding RNA (CPAP_LNC010888)
Source: RNAcentral
AGACUUCUUUUUUUCCCUAUCAAGUGAUUUUUAACAGUGACACUAAAAUUUCACAUAAAUGUAUGUGUGUAUCUACAAAAAGAGUAUUGUCUUUCAAGGGCUUUUACUGUAAAAACCGUUGUUGCACAUUUUUUAACAUCUCUUUCCCACAACUAGGUUGGCUAUUCACCCCAAAAAAGAGGAAAGAAAAAACAACAAAAAGAGCACCCACCUAGAAAUUGACUAAAUCCUAGUUAAUUACAUUUU